GACGAACGCUGGCGGCGUGCUUAACACAUGCAAGUCGAACGGAAAGGCCCUGCUUUUGUGGGGUGCUCGAGUGGCGAACGGGUGAGUAACACGUGAGUAACCUGCCCUUGACUUUGGGAUAACUUCAGGGAACUGGGGCUAAUACCGGAUAGGAGCUCCUGCUGCAUGGUGGGGGUUGGAAAGUUUCGGCGGUUGGGGAUGGACUCGCGGCUUAUCAGCUUGUUGGUGGGGUAGUGGCUUACCAAGGCUUUGACGGGUAGCCGGCCUGAGAGGGUGACCGGCCACAUUGGGACUGAGAUACGGCCCAGACUCCUACGGGAGGCAGCAGUGGGGAAUAUUGCACAAUGGGCGGAAGCCUGAUGCAGCAACGCCGCGUGCGGGAUGACGGCCUUCGGGUCGUAAACCGCUUUCGCCUGUGACGAAGCGUGAGUGACGGUAAUGGGUAAAGAAGCACCGGCUAACUACGUG
This 468-nucleotide ribosomal RNA is filed under the name uncultured bacterium. RNAcentral's name for it is "partial 16S ribosomal RNA". It matches the Rfam family "Bacterial small subunit ribosomal RNA", at positions 28 to 507 of the family's 1533-position model. The record is from RNAcentral.